CCAUAUCCAUCCCGUUGAGACGCGCAUCCGCGCUUAAUAGGGAAUCCGGUGCGACGCCGGAGCGGCCCUCGCCGCUGUAAUCCCGGCCCCCCGAACGGGGGGAAAUCGGCCCCUCCAGGCAUGCCACUGCCGCGAUCCGCGGCGGGAAGGCGGAGCGGGCUCCGGGAGAGCCAGAAGACCUGUCUCGACAUCAUGCUGCGU
RNAcentral lists this non-coding RNA (201 nucleotides) under Desulfovibrio sp. Lineage: Bacteria; Pseudomonadati; Thermodesulfobacteriota; Desulfovibrionia; Desulfovibrionales; Desulfovibrionaceae. The record is from RNAcentral. RNAcentral also lists the same sequence under 1 other name.